RNAcentral lists this unclassified non-coding RNA (169 nucleotides) under soil metagenome. RNAcentral describes it as "partial internal transcribed spacer 1". The record is from RNAcentral.
CCGAGUUUACAACUCCCAAACCCACUGUGAACGUACCUAAACUGUUGCCUCGGCGGGUCACGCCCGGGUGCCGUAAAAGCCCGGAACAGGCGCCGCCGGCAGGAACCAACAAACUCUUUUGUAGUCCCUCGGGACGUAUUCUACAGUCUGAGCAAAAUCAAAUGAAUCA